CAAAAUUUAGUUUAUAGAAAAUAUCUCAUUUACAUUGAGGGGAAUUUUGUUCAAUUAUUUAGUUUUGA
RNAcentral lists this transfer RNA (68 nucleotides) under Pulchriphyllium bioculatum. RNAcentral's name for it is "tRNA-Val". Lineage: Eukaryota; Metazoa; Arthropoda; Insecta; Phasmatodea; Phylliidae. The record is from RNAcentral.